This is a small nuclear RNA of Mustela putorius furo (domestic ferret), 99 nucleotides long. The record is from Ensembl. NCBI's taxonomy places the organism in Eukaryota, Metazoa, Chordata, Mammalia, Carnivora, Mustelidae.
AGCACAUGUGCUAAAUAAUAAAAUUGCGAAGAUACAGAGAAGAUUAACGUGCCCCUGAACAGGAAUGACAAGCAGAUUCAUGAAGCAUUCCAUAUUUUU